RNAcentral lists this long non-coding RNA (1752 nucleotides) under Elaeis guineensis (African oil palm). Its description in RNAcentral is "long non-coding RNA (EGUI_LNC001176)". Lineage: Eukaryota; Viridiplantae; Streptophyta; Magnoliopsida; Arecales; Arecaceae. The record is from RNAcentral.
AAACAGAAUGUAAAAGGAAGAAGACAGAAAGCAAAACUAGAAAAAAAAAAAACCAAUAAAUACACAAAGAAACUAGGCAAUACAAGAGGCACAAAAUAAAAUCAUCAAAAAGACACAAGUUAUAAAGGAACUAGAAAUGCAAUAACAUGGGAAACAAAAUUAACAAGACAGAACGGAAAUACAUGUCUCUAUCCCCCUGCUUUUCUAUGAUGCUCUGUCCUGAUAUACACUUUCAGUAAAAAAGGACACAAUGGAAUUACUCCAGCAAUGAGAGUUCUAAUGAAGGCUGUUAAACAUUGCCCCCUUUUUCAGGUUGGUUGGCGGCAAGGUUGUUUUGUUUUGUGGGCAGUGUUUUGGGAAGGGGAAGAAGGGGGGAAGAGGGGGGUGCAUUGGAGAGCAGCAAAUAGAAAUUGGAUUUUUAAUAAGAUAACAUAGAGAAUGGAAAUUGGGCAGCUAUAAUUUUUUGCCUGCGCAUUUUUUUCUGCAAUGCAGGAAAAAAAAAAAAGCAAUUGCUAAACUAAAGGGUGUAUGUUACAAAAGAUGCGUCUAUGGACAUGUGCAAUUUGUUGUUUAAGCAAGGAGUUUACAAUAAUAAAGACAAAGAAGAUGAGGGAAGAAAGAUAUCUGUAUUAGACACAGAAUUCAGGAAAAGAGAGAGCUAAGAGCAUAAAGGGAGAAUUAUCCUUAGAACACCCAAACUAAGAUGCAAAAAAUUUCCCACAGUGACCACGGACACAUCAAUAAUUUGGCCUUAGUACAUGCAUUGAAGAUGAAGUAUUAAAAAAAAUUGUUAAGGCACAAAGAAAAUGGUGGUCAUCAACUGGAGACUCAGAGAAGAGAGAAAUUUGAUGUCUGCUAAAAACUGCACAAGAUGAUGAGAGAGGGAGAGGGGGGUGGGGGGCAGAGAGAGGUUUGAUUGGUAAAAGAAGUAGAAGAAGAAAAGGCUAAAAAAAUAUAUCAUAAUUAGUGCGGUUGUUGGAGACAGAAAGUUUGUGAAAGAAAUUUAGAUAGCAUGAUGACACACCAUAUUUCUCCUAAUAAAAGUUAUAUGCAUUGCAUGAGCUGUGGAAUGUGUUUUGACAAUAAGAUUUGAGCCUCACCCAAAUCAUUUGUUCUGAAUCAGUCAUGUGAAUCACAUGUGGUGAGUCUAACCUUUCUGAAUUAGUUCUUCUAUGACUUUCCCUUGCAAAAAGCUACUAGUGGAUUUUUUGAUAAAACAUUUGACAGGUGAAUAUUAAAGCCUCCAUUUUUUUAAAUAAUAUAGUUUCGAUUUUUAACCAUAAACAUCAAGCCCCAUCCCAAUAAUUUGGCUCAUCUGAUAGGUUAUAAUUUACACCUUUAAACAUAUUCCCAAUGCAUAUUCUAUGCUUUUAUAGGUUUUUUCAACAACUUCUAAUAUAUUUCUUCUUUCAUAUACAGUGCUGUAACUUCCCUAUGGAGAACUAGAUGAAAGAUAGCAUUCACAAUGACUUAAAGCCACAAAAAAUUUCACAACACAAUUUUAUCACCAGUUUAAGUAUACUAAAAAAUAAUUGGUUAACAUAAAUUAAUUUACUAAAGCUAAGAUCUUGGAAUUUCCCAGAACCAAAUGGUUCAAAGAAAAACAGAGAGAAAAUAAACGCCACAUUAGAUCCUUCAGUGUUAGUAAAUAAAACUGUAAUGGUUUCAAGAGUGAUGCAGCAGAUAAAAUUGGAAAAUAAAAAAGGAAAGCAACGCAGCAGAAAAUUUCUCCGCUUAUCAUAUCUUCAAAGC